AGGAGAUUGCAUUGGGUGCCACCGUCUACCCCAUUUCUAGCUAUGGCGGACGCCAAUAUGAAAUCACCUUGUCUGUCUGGAAGGAUCCAAAAUCGGGGAAUUGGUGGAUGCAGUAUGGGAAUCAAUCUCCAUUGGGCUACUGGCCUUCUUCCUUGUUCCGUUAUCUGUCGGACGGUGCCUCAGAGAUACAAUGGGGAGGGGAGGUUGUGAACUUAAAUUCAAAUGGUCAGCAAACCUCCACAGAGAUGGGUAGCAGCCAUUUCCCAGUAGAAAGUCUUGGCAAGGCGAGCUACUCCUAGAACAUUCAAAUAGUUGAUAAGUCCAACCAUCUUCAAGCUCCUCACGGGAUUGCCCCUUCCACUACGCAAUCCAGCUGCUUUAAUGUGCACAUUGACAACAAUGGUAGAAAUCCCAGUUGUCCAUUGAAAAAUACAAUCAUGAAUAUAUAAUUGCGAACAAUGAAUGCACAACGAGAAUAAACAAUCAAUGGUUACUCUGUCA
Molecule: non-coding RNA, 501 nt
Organism: Phoenix dactylifera (date palm)
Lineage: Eukaryota; Viridiplantae; Streptophyta; Magnoliopsida; Arecales; Arecaceae
Source: RefSeq, a predicted model, not a curated record